AGGGAAUCUUCCACAAUGGACGCAAGUCUGAUGGAGCAACGCCGCGUGAGUGAAGAAGGUUUUCGGACCGUAAAGCUCUGUUGUUGGUGAAGAAGGAUAGAGGUAGUAACUGGCCUUUAUUUGACGGUAAUCAACCAGAAAGUCACGGCUAACUACGUGCCAGCAGCCGCGGUAAUACGUAGGUGGCAAGCGUUGUCCGGAUUUAUUGGGCGUAAAGCGAGCGCAGGCGGAAGAAUAAGUCUGAUGUGAAAGCCCCCGGCUUAACCGAGGAAUUGCAUCGGAAACUGUUUUUCUUGAGUGCAGAAGAGGAGAGUAGAACUCCAUGUGUAGCGGUGGAAUGCGUAGAUAUAUGGAAGAAUACCAGUGGCGAAGGCGGCUCUCUGGUCUGCAACUGACGCUGAGGCUCGAAAAGCAUGGGUAGCGAACAGGAUUAGAUACCCUGGUAGUCCAUGCCGUAAAACGAUGAGUGCUAAGUGUUGGGAGGCUUCCGCCUCUCAGUGCUGCAGCUAACGCAUUAAGCACUCCGCCUGGGGGAGUACGACCGCAAGG
This 549-nucleotide ribosomal RNA is filed under the name uncultured bacterium. RNAcentral's name for it is "partial 16S ribosomal RNA". It matches the Rfam family "Bacterial small subunit ribosomal RNA", at positions 356 to 893 of the family's 1533-position model. The record is from RNAcentral.